ACUUUCAACAACGGAUCUCUUGGCUCUUGCAUCGAUGAAGAACGCAGCGAAAUGCGAUAAGUAAUGUGAAUUGCAGAAUCCAGUGAAUCAUCGAAUCUUUGAACGCACCUUGCGCCCUUUGGUAUUCCGAGGGGCAUGCCUGUUUGAGAGUCAUUAA
Molecule: ribosomal RNA, 157 nt
Filed under: Agroathelia rolfsii
Lineage: Eukaryota; Fungi; Basidiomycota; Agaricomycetes; Amylocorticiales; Amylocorticiaceae
Description: Athelia rolfsii 5.8S ribosomal RNA
Rfam family: 5.8S ribosomal RNA
About the family: 5.8S ribosomal RNA (5.8S rRNA) is a component of the large subunit of the eukaryotic ribosome.
Source: RNAcentral